This 520-nucleotide small RNA is filed under the name Pongo abelii (Sumatran orangutan). RNAcentral's name for it is "processed transcript". Lineage: Eukaryota; Metazoa; Chordata; Mammalia; Primates; Hominidae. The record is from RNAcentral.
UUUUUUGGUCCUAGCAGCCCACAGAUGGAGUAGCAGUUUCCAGUCUGUUGAAGUUCUUUGCUUCCGUGACCGUACCAUGCAGGGGGCGAGAGACGUUGCCCACAGCAUCAUCUUCGAAGUGAAGCUUCCAGAAAUGGCAUUUAGCCCAGAUUGUCCUAAAGCAGUUGGAUGGGAAAAGAACCAGAAAGGAGGCAUGGGACCAAGGAUGGUGAACCUCAGUGAAUGUAUGGACCCUAAAAGGUUAGCUGAGUCAUCAGUGGAUCUAAAUCUCAAACUGAUGUGUUGGAGAUUGGUUCCUACUUUAGACUUGGAGAAGGUUGUGUCUGUCAAGUGUCUGCUGCUUGGAGCUGGCACCUUGGGUUGCAAUGUAGCUAGGACGUUGAUGAUUAGCCAUUUAAACUGUGUAGCAUUCCAGGAAACCAAAAGGUUGGGGCGUGAGACACAUCACAUUUGUGGACAAUGCCAAGAUCUCCUACUCCAAUCCUGUGAGGCAGCCUCUCUAUGAGUUUGAAGAUUGCCU